Molecule: unclassified non-coding RNA, 384 nt
Filed under: uncultured fungus
Lineage: Eukaryota; Fungi
Description: partial contains 5.8S ribosomal RNA and internal transcribed spacer 2
Rfam family: 5.8S ribosomal RNA (bases 1-133)
Source: RNAcentral
UGGCUCUCGCAUCGAUGAAGAACGCAGCGAAAUGCGAUAAGUAAUGUGAAUUGCAGAAUUCAGUGAAUCAUCGAAUCUUUGAACGCAUCUUGCGCUCCUUGGUAUUCCGAGGAGCAUGCCUGUUUGAGUGUCAUUAAAUUCUCAACCAAUAUUAGCUUUUGCUGGUUUGGCUUUGGAGGUGGGGGAUUGUUUUGCAGGCUUUCAAAAGUCAGCUCCCCUGAAAUGCAUUAGCAGCGCCCUUGUGGUCGUACAGCUAUUGGUGUGAUAACUAUCUAUGCCAUUAGUUUGAUCACAUACUUUGGGGUUGUGCUGCUUCUAAUCGUCUUCUUUACUAAGACAAUAAAUGACAAUUUUGGCCUCAAAUCAGGUAGGACUACCCGCUGA